UACGGGGGGGGCAAGCGUUGUUCGGAAUUACUGGGCGUAAAGGGCGCGUAGGCGGCCUGCUAAGUCGGAUGUGAAAUCCCUCGGCUCAACCGAGGAACUGCAUCCGAUACUGGCGGGCUUGAAUCCGGGAGAGGGAUGUGGAAUUCCCGGUGUAGCGGUGAAAUGCGUAGAUAUCUGGAGGAACACCGGUGGCGAAGGCGGCAUCCUGGACCGGUAUUGACGCUGAGGCGCGAAAGCUAGGGGAGCAAACGGG
RNAcentral lists this ribosomal RNA (253 nucleotides) under uncultured bacterium. RNAcentral describes it as "partial 16S ribosomal RNA". It matches the Rfam family "Bacterial small subunit ribosomal RNA", at positions 524 to 776 of the family's 1533-position model. The record is from RNAcentral.